Molecule: long non-coding RNA, 152 nt
Organism: Sphaeramia orbicularis (orbiculate cardinalfish)
Lineage: Eukaryota; Metazoa; Chordata; Actinopteri; Kurtiformes; Apogonidae
Exons: 4
Source: RefSeq, a predicted model, not a curated record
GUCCACACUGAGCACGGCUGCGCGAGCAUUUAAAAAGAACAUCAAUGAAGAAGCGCUCCUACCCUUCAGGGUUUGCAAAAAGACAAAAAAAGAAAGAAGAGGAAAAAUGCCAAGGACACAGUGCCUACUGAAGUUCACAGUUUGAGUCUGAG